GUACCGUGAGGGAAAGGUGAAAAGAACCCUGAACAAGGGAGUGAAAUAGAUCCUGAAACCAUACGCUUACAAGCGGUCGGAGCCCUUAUGGGUGACGGCGUGCCUUUUGCAUAAUGAGCCUACGAGUUACCGUUACCAGCAAGGUUAAGCACUUCAGGUGUGGAGCCGUAGCGAAAGCGAGUCUGAAUAGGGCGAAUUAGUUGGUCAUGGUAGACGCGAAACCGUGUGAUCUACCCUUGGGCAGGUUGAAGCUGUGGUAACACACAGUGGAGGACCGAACCCGUUGACGUUGAAAAGUCUUGGGAUGACCUGAGGGUAGGGGUGAAAGGCCAAUCAAACUCGGAAAUAGCUCGUACUCCCCGAAAUGCAUUUAGGUGCAGCGGUAUAUUAGUUUUAUAGAGGUAGAGCUACUGAUUGGAUGCGGGGGCUUCACCGCCUACCAAUUCCUGACAAACUCCGAAUGCUAUAAAAUGAUUUAUAUCAGUGAGGGCAUGGGUGCUAAGGUCCGUGUCCGAGAGGGAAAGAACCCAGACCAUCAGCUAAGGUCCCCAAAUAUAUGUUAAGUUGAAUAAACGCGGUUGAACUGCUUAGACAGCUAGGAUGUUGGCUUGGAAGCAGCCAUUCAUUUAAAGAGUGCGUAACAGCUCACCAAUCGAGAGACUUUGCGCCGAUAAUGAUCGGGACUAAGCAUAGAGCCGAAAUCGCGGGUGUGCCACUUUGUGGUACGCGGUAGGAGAGCGUUGUAUGUGCAUUGAAGGUGUACCGUAAGGAGCACUGGAGCGCAUACAAGUGAGGAUGCAUGGCAUAAGUACACGAUAAAGGGAGUGAGAAUCUCCCUCGCCGAAAACCUAAGGUUUCCAGGGUAAAGCUCGUCUUCCCUGGGUUAGCCGGUCCCUAAGCUGAGGCUGAAAAGCGUAAGCGAUGGAAAGCAGGUUAAAUAUUCCUGCGCCACCUAAAACUAUAACAAUGGGGUGACGGAGUAAGUUAAGCACGCGGGCUAUUGGAUGUCCGUUCUUGUAUGAGGUGGGUCAGUAGGUAAAUCCGCUGACAUAAAGCCAGGUAUGAGACAAGGGGAAUCUUCGGAGGAACCGAUGGUGUGGCACGAUGCUUCCAAGAAAUAACCUCUAGUUGUUGAUGGUGACCGUACCAAAACCGACACAGGUAGGUGGGAUGAAUAUUCUCAGGCGCGCGAGAGAACUCUCGUUAAGGAACUCGGCAAAUUGUCCUCGUAACUUCGGAAUAAGAGGAGCCCUUGGGCGUGAUACCUUCGCGGUUAAGCGCUCGGGGGCCGCAGUGAAUAGGCCCAGGCGACUGUUUAACAAAAACACAGCACUAUGCAAACUCGUCUAAGAGGAAGUAUAUGGUGUGAUGCCUGCCCAAUGCCAAAAGGUCAAAAGGAGAUGUUAGCACUUCGGUGCGAAGCUUUGAAUUUAAGCCCUGGUGAAUGGCGGCCGUAACAAUAACGGUCCUAAGGUAGCGAA
This 1481-nucleotide ribosomal RNA is filed under the name Paramoeba aestuarina. RNAcentral's name for it is "partial Bacterial large subunit ribosomal RNA". It matches the Rfam family "Bacterial large subunit ribosomal RNA", at positions 498 to 1963 of the family's 2925-position model. The record is from RNAcentral. Lineage: Eukaryota; Discosea; Flabellinia; Dactylopodida; Paramoebidae.